Molecule: ribosomal RNA, 500 nt
Filed under: uncultured bacterium
Lineage: Bacteria
Description: partial 16S ribosomal RNA
Rfam family: Bacterial small subunit ribosomal RNA
Source: RNAcentral
AUUGAACGCUGGCGGCAGGCCUAACACAUGCAAGUCGAGCGGUAGAGAGAAGCUUGCUUCUCUUGAGAGCGGCGGACGGGUGAGUAAUGCCUAGGAAUCUGCCUGGUAGUGGGGGAUAACGUUCGGAAACGGACGCUAAUACCGCAUAAGUCCUACGGGAGAAAGCAGGGGACCUUCGGGCCUUGCGCUAUCAGAUGAGCCUAGGUCGGAUUAGCUAGUUGGUGGGGUAAUGGCUCACCAAGGCGACGAUCCGUAACUGGUCUGAGAGGAUGAUCAGUCACACUGGAACUGAGACACGGUCCAGACUCCUACGAGAGGCAGCAGUGGGGAAUAUUGGACAAUGGGCGAAAGCCUGAUCCAGCCAUGCCGCGUGUGUGAAGAAGGUCUUCGGAUUGUAAAGCACUUUAAGUUGGGAGGAAGGGUUGUAGAUUAAUACUCUGCAAUUUUGACGUUACCGACAGAAUAAGCACCGGCUAACUCUGUGCCAGCCGCCGCUGUAA